UACCUUUGAACUCUUUCAAGGUUUCUUUGUUAUCAAUACUUUGACUAAUUUAGAUAAGGUGCCAUGAUGGUCUUUUAUAUGGUAGUUCAUAAUAAACUACCCAUAUAAACUAAUCAAUGAUCGUAGGAUCAAAUCCAUAAGCAAUUUCUUAUGCAUGAUCAUGUUGAGCCUUUUGAGCUCUUUAAUAUCUUUGAUCAUUAUCAAAUAACGAUCAU
RNAcentral lists this long non-coding RNA (215 nucleotides) under Elaeis guineensis (African oil palm). Its description in RNAcentral is "long non-coding RNA (EGUI_LNC063789)". The record is from RNAcentral. Lineage: Eukaryota; Viridiplantae; Streptophyta; Magnoliopsida; Arecales; Arecaceae.